Molecule: ribosomal RNA, 300 nt
Filed under: uncultured Sebacinales
Lineage: Eukaryota; Fungi; Basidiomycota; Agaricomycetes; Sebacinales
Description: eukaryotic LSU rRNA
Rfam family: Eukaryotic large subunit ribosomal RNA
Source: RNAcentral
UAGUAACGGCGAGUGAAGAGGGAAAAGCCAAAUUUUGAAUCAGGUGUCUUUGGCGCCCGAAUUGUAAUCUAGAGAAGUGUUUUCUGUUUGGACCAUGCACAAGUCCCCUGGAAUGGGGUGUCAUAGAGGGUGAGAAUCCCGUACAUGCAUGGAUCCCAAUGCUCUGUGAUACACUCUCAACGAGUCGAGUUGUUUGGGAAUGCAGUCAAAAUGGGUGGUAAAUUCCAUCUAAAGCUAAAUAUUGGCGAGAGACCGAUAGCGAACAGUACCGUGAGGGAAAGAUGGAAAGCACUUUGGAAA